CCCAUGUGCUCCUUCCCUAGAUUGGCCGUCAUCACAAAGGCAGAUGAGUUCACAACAAGUCAGAAGAAAAUUAGAAUGGCUACAGUCAUUUGAAAGGAGGAAAAAGCUGUCAUCAUUUUAUAACAAGGCCCAAGGCUAGCUGAUAAAUGACAAACACAUUGCAGAGUGGACUUUUUGGUAGAGUCAGGGUUAUAGGAGAAUAGGAAAUGUACACUUUAUCAAAACAAUUUAAG
Pelobates cultripes (western spadefoot toad) is the source of this 233-nucleotide non-coding RNA. NCBI's taxonomy places the organism in Eukaryota, Metazoa, Chordata, Amphibia, Anura, Pelobatidae. The record is from the annotation of a GenBank genome assembly.